AAGGUAGCAUAAUAAUAUGUCCAUUAAUUGUGGAAUAGAAUGAAUGGGAAAACGAAAUAAGAUCUGUCUCAAUAAAUUUUAUAUAAACUAUUAUAAAAGUGAAGAAACUUUUAUUCUAUUAAAGGACAAGAAGACCCUAUAGAGCUUUAUCUCUAAAAAUUUCUAAUUUCCACAGAUUCGGUUGGGGCAACCAAGGAAAAUUCAUCCUUUUUUACUAAGAUAUAUUUAUCACAUCAAUGAUCCAAAUAUGAUCCACAAACCAAGCUACCUUAGGGAUAACAGGCUAAUCUUUCUUAAAAGUUCAUAUUAACAGAAGGGAUUGGCACCUCGAUGUUGGCUU
Molecule: ribosomal RNA, 340 nt
Filed under: Grania laxartus
Lineage: Eukaryota; Metazoa; Annelida; Clitellata; Enchytraeida; Enchytraeidae
Description: partial 16S ribosomal RNA
Rfam family: Bacterial large subunit ribosomal RNA
Source: RNAcentral